UGCAAGUCGAGCGGACAGAUGGGAGCUUGCUCCCUGAUGUUAGCGGCGGACGGGUGAGUAACACGUGGGUAACCUGCCUGUAAGACUGGGAUAACUCCGGGAAACCGGGGCUAAUACCGGAUGGUUGUCUGAACCGCAUGGUUCAGACAUAAAAGGUGGCUUCGGCUACCACUUACAGAUGGACCCGCGGCGCAUUAGCUAGUUGGUGAGGUAACGGCUCACCAAGGCGACGAUGCGUAGCCGACCUGAGAGGGUGAUCGGCCACACUGGGACUGAGACACGGCCCAGACUCCUACGGGAGGCAGCAGUAGGGAAUCUUCCGCAAUGGACGAAAGUCUGACGGAGCAACGCCGCGUGAGUGAUGAAGGUUUUCGGAUCGUAAAGCUCUGUUGUUAGGGAAGAACAAGUGCCGUUCAAAUAGGGCGGCACCUUGACGGUACCUAACCAGAAAGCCACGGCUAACUACGUGCCAGCA
RNAcentral lists this ribosomal RNA (475 nucleotides) under Bacillus subtilis. Its description in RNAcentral is "bacterial SSU rRNA". It matches the Rfam family "Bacterial small subunit ribosomal RNA", at positions 56 to 513 of the family's 1533-position model. Lineage: Bacteria; Bacillati; Bacillota; Bacilli; Caryophanales; Bacillaceae. The record is from RNAcentral.